AUUGAACGCUGGCGGAAUGCUUUACACAUGCAAGUCGAGCGGCAGCACGGGGGCAACCCUGGUGGCGAGCGGCGAACGGGUGAGUAAUACAUCGGAACAUGCCCAGUCGUGGGGGAUAACACUUCGAAAGAAGUGCUAAUACCGCAUACGUCCUGAGGGAGAAAGCGGGGGAUCGCAAGACCUCGCGCGAUUGGAGUGGCCGAUGUCAGAUUAGCUAGUUGGUGGGGUAAAGGCCUACCAAGGCAACGAUCUGUAGCUGGUCUGAGAGGAUGAUCAGCCACACUGGGACUGAGACACGGCCCAGACUCCUACGGGAGGCAGCAGUGGGGAAUUUUGGACAAUGGGGGCAACCCUGAUCCAGCCAUUCCGCGUGAGUGAAGAAGGCCUUCGGGCUGUAAAGCUCUUUCGGCAGGAACGAAACGGCGAGCUCUAACAUAGCUUGCUAAUGACGGUACCUGAAGAAGAAGCACCGGCUAACUACGUG
Molecule: ribosomal RNA, 484 nt
Filed under: uncultured bacterium
Lineage: Bacteria
Description: partial 16S ribosomal RNA
Rfam family: Bacterial small subunit ribosomal RNA
Source: RNAcentral